AAACAGAGACAGACAACCACAGUUAAUGUAAACCUUGGAUCUUUAUUGAGAGAGAGAGAGAGUGGUAAAAAGAGACACUGGAGGAUAAAUACCUGAGAUGAAUAGGACCACAAAAGUUGACUUGAUGCUUUGAUCUAGUAGUGCACUAAAAUCCUUAGUCCUUACACUCAACAGUCUUUAGUCCAAAUUAAUGAUCAAUUAAAAGACAAUUGUGGGGAUGGUGAUUGCUGGUUCUACUAGAUGGUUAGGCAGUGACAAAAGAAAAAACAAAAAUUGUUGUAGAAAUUAUUGCGGUAUUCUUUUACACACUUUGCUGCUAGUAAAGACACAGCUGGGAAUAUGUCGUAGAAGACUAAGAAUAUUAGAGCUGACUGGAUAUUGGGGAUCUUGUGAUCAAUCUGUACGAGUGUAUUACCAAACAGGCGCUUUGCAGCGGGUGUAAAAUCAAAAAGCAGGUGUUUUUGAUUUUGCACCUGCUGUGGGGUGCUUGUUUGGUAAUACACUGUUAAAGUAACGACAAAGCAGUUUUAGUAAUGCUAUGAACCAAUCUGUAUGAAGAUGACCCAGACAAAACUUCACGACUCACACUCUAUGAACCAAUGGCUUAGCGACCACACCCGACAAAGGUGACUGACUCCUUAUAUCCUUUGAUCUUUUUCUUUAUUACCCUCUUCACUUCUCCCUUUCACACCAUCUGCAUGCUGUUUGACUUCUAUAG
RNAcentral lists this long non-coding RNA (718 nucleotides) under Androctonus crassicauda. Lineage: Eukaryota; Metazoa; Arthropoda; Arachnida; Scorpiones; Buthidae. The record is from RNAcentral.